CCACGGGUGGCUGCAGUGGGGAAUAUUGGACAAUGGGGGGAACCCUGAUCCAGCCAUGCCGCGUGUGUGAAGAAGGCCCUCGGGUUGUAAAGCACUUUCAGUGAGGAAGAACGCCUGGUGGUUAAUACCCAUCAGGAAAGACAUCACUCACAGAAGAAGCACCGGCUAACUCCGUGCCAGCAGCCGCGGUAAUACGGAGGGUGCGAGCGUUAAUCGGAAUUACUGGGCCUAAAGCGCGCGUAGGUGGCUUGAUAAGCCGGUUGUGAAAGCCCCGGGCUCAACCUGGGAACGGCAUCCGGAACUGUCAAGCUAGAGUGCAGGAGAGGAAGGUAGAAUUCCCGGUGUAGCGGUGAAAUGCGUAGAGAUCGGGAGGAAUACCAGUGGCGAAGGCGGCCUUCUGGACUGACACUGACACUGAGGUGCGAAAGCGUGGGUAGCAAACAGGAUUAGAUACCCCAGUAGUC
RNAcentral lists this ribosomal RNA (464 nucleotides) under Vreelandella stevensii. RNAcentral describes it as "partial 16S ribosomal RNA". It matches the Rfam family "Bacterial small subunit ribosomal RNA", at positions 339 to 795 of the family's 1533-position model. The record is from RNAcentral. Lineage: Bacteria; Pseudomonadati; Pseudomonadota; Gammaproteobacteria; Oceanospirillales; Halomonadaceae.